GCCCUCGUAGCUCAGUGGCAGAGCGCGUCCUUGGUAAGGACGAGGUCAUGAGUUCAAUCCUCAUCGAGGGCUCCA
This is a transfer RNA of 75 nucleotides. It matches the Rfam family "tRNA". From Rfam's summary of the family: Transfer RNA (tRNA) molecules are approximately 80 nucleotides in length. Their secondary structure includes four short double-helical elements and three loops (D, anti-codon, and T loops). Further hydrogen bonds mediate the characteristic L-shaped molecular structure. tRNAs have two regions of fundamental functional importance: the anti-codon, which is responsible for specific mRNA codon recognition, and the 3' end, to which the tRNAs corresponding amino acid is attached (by aminoacyl-tRNA synthetases). tRNAs cope with the degeneracy of the genetic code in two manners: having more than one tRNA (with a specific anti-codon) for a particular amino acid; and 'wobble' base-pairing, i.e. permitting non-standard base-pairing at the 3rd anti-codon position.